CUCAGAUUGAACGCUGGCGGCAGGCCUAACACAUGCAAGUCGAGCGGAUGAAGAGAGCUUGCUCUCUGAUUCAGCGGCGGACGGGUGAGUAAUGCCUAGGAAUCUGCCUGGUAGUGGGGGACAACGUUUCGAAAGGAACGCUAAUACCGCAUACGUCCUACGGGAGAAAGCAGGGGACCUUCGGGCCUUGCGCUAUCAGAUGAGCCUAGGUCGGAUUAGCUAGUUGGUGAGGUAAUGGCUCACCAAGGCGACGAUCCGUAACUGGUCUGAGAGGAUGAUCAGUCACACUGGAACUGAGACACGGUCCAGACUCCUACGGGAGGCAGCAGUGGGGAAUAUUGGACAAUGGGCGAAAGCCUGAUCCAGCCAUGCCGCGUGUGUGAAGAAGGUCUUCGGAUUGUAAAGCACUUUAAGUUGGGAGGAAGGGUUGUAGAUUAAUACUCUGCAAUUUUGACGUUACCGACAGAAUAAGCACCGGCUAACUCUGUGCCAGCAGCCGCGGUAAUACAGAGGGUGCAAGCGUUAAUCGGAAUUACUGGGCGUAAAGCGCGCGUAGGUGGUUUGUUAAGUUGGAUGUGAAAGCCCCGGGCUCAACCUGGGAACUGCAUUCAAAACUGACAAGCUAGAGUAUGGUAGAGGGUGGUGGAAUUUCCUGUGUAGCGGUGAAAUGCGUAGAUAUAGGAAGGAACACCAGUGGCGAAGGCGACCACCUGGACUGAUACUGA
This 725-nucleotide ribosomal RNA is filed under the name Pseudomonas sp. SMCC B0689. Its description in RNAcentral is "bacterial SSU rRNA". It matches the Rfam family "Bacterial small subunit ribosomal RNA", at positions 23 to 743 of the family's 1533-position model. Lineage: Bacteria; Pseudomonadati; Pseudomonadota; Gammaproteobacteria; Pseudomonadales; Pseudomonadaceae. The record is from RNAcentral.